This 310-nucleotide ribosomal RNA is filed under the name Aliivibrio fischeri SR5. RNAcentral's name for it is "bacterial SSU rRNA". It matches the Rfam family "Bacterial small subunit ribosomal RNA", at positions 1 to 298 of the family's 1533-position model. The record is from RNAcentral. Lineage: Bacteria; Pseudomonadati; Pseudomonadota; Gammaproteobacteria; Vibrionales; Vibrionaceae.
AAUUGAAGAGUUUGAUCAUGGCUCAGAUUGAACGCUGGCGGCAGGCCUAACACAUGCAAGUCGAGCGGAAACGACUUAACUGAACCUUCGGGGAACGUUAAGGGCGUCGAGCGGCGGACGGGUGAGUAAUGCCUGGGAAUAUGCCUUAGUGUGGGGGAUAACUAUUGGAAACGAUAGCUAAUACCGCAUAAUGUCUUCGGACCAAAGAGGGGGACCUUCUGGCCUCUCGCGCUAAGAUUAGCCCAGGUGAGAUUAGCUAGUUGGUGAGGUAAGAGCUCACCAAGGCGACGAUCUCUAGCUGGUCUGAGAG